UACGUAGGGUGCGAGCGUUAAUCGGAAUUACUGGGCGUAAAGCGUGCGCAGGCGGUUCGCCAAGUCAGGUGUGAAAUCCCCGGGCUUAACCUGGGAAUUGCGCUUGAAACUAGCGGGCUUGAGUGUGGCAGAAGGGGGUGGAAUUCCACGUGUAGCGGUGAAAUGCGUAGAUAUUGGGAAGAACACCUGAGGCGAAGGCGGGUUGCUGGGCCGACACUGACGCUGAGGCGCGAAAGCCAGGGGAGCAAACGGG
Molecule: ribosomal RNA, 253 nt
Filed under: uncultured bacterium
Lineage: Bacteria
Description: partial 16S ribosomal RNA
Rfam family: Bacterial small subunit ribosomal RNA
Source: RNAcentral